GGAAUAUCAUCACUUUGCUGUUGUAUUGGGGUGAUUGGCUGGAGAGAACAAUACUGGCAACGAAACAUGGAUGAACAACUGCAGUGUACUCUUCCCAAGUGCAUUCUUCUUCGUAUUAUCAGUACGCAAUCGGUUGAUUGUGAUGUCGUGCUGUUGCCGUUUGUCGUAUCGUUGAAGGCUGGGUCGAUCACUGGUGUACUGAUGUCUCCUGGGUAUGGUGGAUACCAAAGCACCACACCGCCGCCAUACUACUCAACAACAACAUUCGCACCAACCGGUUACUAAACUGAGGCUCACAAUUACAACAUCACCAAGGCUGCAGAAUAUUACACCGCAGAUAACGCUGCCCCGAGCUACAUCAUCAAAGAUCCUGAUUACUACACCGAGGCUCCCAAGUGCUACACCACCAAGUCACCGGAGUAUUACACGUAUGUUGCCCCAGCUUACUACACCGAGGUUUCUAAGCAUUAUUUUGUUCCUAGCUACUACACCGAGGUUCCAACUUAUUACUCCACCAAAGCGGCUGAAUACUACACCGAGUCGCCCAAUUACUACACCAAUAAGGCUCCAGAUUAUUACACCACAACUUAUGCUUCCCCGAGCCACAACACCGCAGCCCCGAUGUAUUACUCUGCCUCAAGCUAGACAACUAUAACUUAAGUGGCCAAGUAAAACGCAGCCCCGACUUACUACACAGCGGCUGCUCCUUCGUACUACGUUGAACCGGAAUACUACACCGAGGCUCCAGUUUACUACCCCACAACCUACGCUACACAUAGCUGCUACACCGAGGGUCCUAUGUUCUACACUACCAAGGCACCUGAGUAUUAUACUACUACUUACGAUGCUCCGACCAACUACACCGAAGCUCCGAAGUAUUACUCUAUCCCGACUUACUACACCACUAAGGCACCUGAAUAUUUCACCACAUCCUACGCUUCUCCAACUUACUACAUGGACGUUUCUGAAUACUAAAGUCGAAUUUUCAAUUUUAAUAAUCAUGUUCAUUUUUGUUGGUCAUAUCUUAAUAAUUACUAUUCACUGGGAAUUGUUGAUCUUUAAAGAGAAAUAGAAUUGUUUUAACCUGAGUAAUCAUUUUGUACGACUUCUCUUGCCACCAAAAAGCCUUGACAUUGCGACGUUUUCUGAUUUUUAUUGGAUCUUUCCUAUUUCGUAUGUUGGAGGUGGCUAUUUCUCUACUCGCUCUGUAUUCCGACAUGUUCUAGUGUUUGGACGAACUUUAUUUACAGGGCAAGAUUCGAAAGAAAUGUACUGUGGUGAACUAAAAAUUGUCGUUGUUAACAGUUCUGUUUUUAACUAAAGUUGGGGUAGAAAAAGGUGUUGUAGAUAAUGUUUAGUUUGUCACAGCAAUUUAAUUGAAAAAUCUGAAGAUGAUCAGUCACAAAAUAUACAAGUCAAAUGCUAAA
Daphnia pulicaria is the source of this 1427-nucleotide long non-coding RNA. RefSeq lists it as uncharacterized. The transcript is spliced from 2 exons. Lineage: Eukaryota; Metazoa; Arthropoda; Branchiopoda; Diplostraca; Daphniidae. The record is from RefSeq and is a predicted model, not a curated record.